RNAcentral lists this long non-coding RNA (1185 nucleotides) under Homo sapiens (human). RNAcentral describes it as "non-protein coding lnc-PABPC4L-5:5". The record is from RNAcentral. Lineage: Eukaryota; Metazoa; Chordata; Mammalia; Primates; Hominidae.
GAGUGUGAGAGCGAGAACAGCCCCGCAGGUCCCGAGGCGCUGGCUGGGGACAAUGCCGCGGAAAGUUCCCAGUCCCCAGCCGCAGAUCUGCAGAAUUGAAAUGAAAUGUUUUGAGCUCUUCAAGCUGACUCGUCAGAAUCCUGGAGCCUUUUAAAAAAUGACGAAUUGGAAGGAAAAAUUACUUUAUCAAUAACCAGGCUCCACCAGGAUUGACCUAGAUGGUUGUUCCUGGCACUUGUCAUUCUCAGCAAGCACAGCUCAGAGAACAAAUACAAAAGACCCAAAGUGCAUUGCAUCUUUUAUGGAAGUGCCCAAUGUGGAAAUCAUAGAUUUCAAGGAAGGAACAAGAAAAUUGAUGAAACAAGUUCAAAAGAAAGGUACCUGUGCCUCAUCAUUCCUAAAGAACACUGAUCAAUGAUCCCAGAAGUAUGCCAUGUUCUCUUAAUUCAUCAGAGACUGAAAGCAAAGGAAAAUCAAGAAAUAAGCUUGGCCAAUUUGAUGUCAAUGGAAAUGCGUGAGAUUUUUAUUCAGCAUUCACACCUGAGCAAUGCUUUUGGUCAUGAUGUCAUACUAAGAAGAAACCACCUGAGAUGAGACUGUUAGAUGUUCAGAGCAAACAAAAACAAAAACAGACCAACAAAAAAAACCCAAAACAAAACAGAAGUUUCUGAAGGACAGCAGAAAUGGCUUUGCAGGACCACAACAACCACUCCCAGUCAUGAUGGAGAGAAGUGUUCAAUACCCACAGAUCCUGAACGUUGAGCUGAUUAUACUAACUAGAUGGGACUUAGUUUUGUCUACCGUGGGGUGAGCGUAUACUACCUGAGGGAACAGGUUCUCUAUGGUGAAGAUGGCAACUUGCUGACUCAGUCUCAGAAUGCGUUAAAUCCACAUAUUCUGAAGUCCUCAGCAGAGUGAAACUUCAUAUAUAAUAUUUUCUACAGACAAAGUUACCAUCAAUAUCAACAGCAACAACACGGCAACAGCCAACAUUUACAGAACUUUUAUUAAGUUCCAGUCACCGUAUGUGCCUGCUUCCCCUUUGCCUUCCACCAUCAUUAUAAGUUUCCUGAGGCCACCACUGCCAUGCUUCCUGUACAGACUGUGGGACUCCAUGUAAGAUGUUCCUGCUUCCCCUUUGCCUUCUACCAUGAUUGUAACUUUCCUGAGGCCUUCCCAGCCAUG